RNAcentral lists this unclassified non-coding RNA (837 nucleotides) under Hevea brasiliensis (rubber tree). The record is from RNAcentral. Lineage: Eukaryota; Viridiplantae; Streptophyta; Magnoliopsida; Malpighiales; Euphorbiaceae.
GAACCGAUCACUGCCACCAUCGCCACCAACACCAACCGCCUCCAUCGCCACCCAUCAAAACUCAAAUAACACACACUCUCAGGGAACCCAGAAGAAAACCCGUCUUCAAUGGCCACCAGUAAGAGCUACUUUGCACGACAAAACUACCGAUUUCUGUCUGGCGACGAGGCGAGGCCCUGCACGCGCCACUCACGCCCGACUCCGCAUUUGAACUCGACGAGUCUGACAUUUAUAACAAUUCAGUCACAACUCGUUCCAACUCGACCGAGUUUCUCAAAUCUCUACCGAGUUCCAGACUCACCAAGAAGUCCACAGCAACAGCAGCGGCGUUGACCAACAGCAGCGUCCCUGGAGACAGAGUCGUAGGGACUCCAUCGUCACUUCCGGUUAACAUACCGGACUGGUCGAAGAUAUUGAAAGAUGAGUACAGGGAGAGUCGUCGUGGGAGAGAUAUGGACAACGACGACGACGACGACGACGACGAUGAUGACGCCGACGGAGAGGAUUAUUUCCACGGAGGAGCGAGGGUUCCGCCGCACGAGUUUUUGGCGAGGACGAGGAUCGCAUCGUUCUCGGUGCAUGAAGGGGUAGGGAGGACUUUGAAAGGGAGGGAUCUGAGCAGGGUUAGAAAUGCAAUUUGGGAGAAAACUGGGUUUCAAGAUUAAAAAAAAAAAUCCACAAAUGAAGGGUUUUUUGUUUCCUUCCUUAUUUUAGAAAUAUCGGAAAAAUAACAGAAUUUAUAGAGAGAAAUUCAUCAGCACAGAUUUUCUAGAGAAAGUGACAGAUGGGUUUUUUAACUUUUUUUUUUAUUUUAAGAUUAAAGAACUUUUAUGCGUG